CUACCUGCUGAGAUCCGAUAAAAUUAGAACGGUACAGAGAAGAUUAGCAUGGCCCCUGCGCAAUGAUGAGGUGUGAGCCCAAGUAUCUAGCGUAU
Molecule: small nuclear RNA, 95 nt
Filed under: Perkinsus marinus ATCC 50983
Lineage: Eukaryota; Perkinsozoa; Perkinsida; Perkinsidae
Source: RNAcentral